Molecule: long non-coding RNA, 247 nt
Filed under: Brassica napus (rape)
Lineage: Eukaryota; Viridiplantae; Streptophyta; Magnoliopsida; Brassicales; Brassicaceae
Description: long non-coding RNA (BNAP_LNC018770)
Source: RNAcentral
AUUUAGUCCAUAUGUAUGCGGUUAAUAAACCUGUGACGUGAAUUGCUCAUUUUUUUCAUAUGGAAUAGUUUUCGGUAACUUUUGUCCAUAUGUUCUCUCAUCUACGUCAUCAACUAUAUCACAUCUUCAUUGGGUAAUUGUAAAUGGGAGGGUUAUAAACAGAUCAAAUGUGUCCUAAAUGUUAGUUUCUUUAUUAUUUCAAAAACACUGAUAUUUUCUUAAUUUCUAUUGACAAUUUCUUACUCAG